RNAcentral lists this unclassified non-coding RNA (329 nucleotides) under soil metagenome. RNAcentral describes it as "partial contains 5.8S ribosomal RNA, internal transcribed spacer 2, and large subunit ribosomal RNA". The stretch from base 1 to 120 matches the Rfam family "5.8S ribosomal RNA", at positions 35 to 154 of the family's 154-position model. The record is from RNAcentral.
GAUGAAGAACGCAGCGAAAUGCGAUAAGUAGUGUGAAUUGCAGAAUUCAGUGAAUCAUCGAAUCUUUGAACGCACAUUGCGCCCCUUGGUAUCCCGAGGGGCAUGCCAGUUCGAGCGUCAUUUCACCACUCAAGCCUGGCUUGGUGUUGGGCGACGUCCCCUUUAGGGACGCGCCUCGAAACGCUCGGCGGCGUGGCACCGGCUUUAAGCGUAGCAGAAUCUUUCGCUUUGGAAGUCGGGGCCCCGCCUGCCGGAAUACCUACUCGUAAGGUUGACCUCGGAUCAGGCAGGGAUACCCGCUGAACUUAAGCAUAUCAAUAAGCGGAGGA